CGAAUAGGGGAGCCGGAGGGAAACCGAGUCUUAAUUGGGCGUUAAGUUGCAGGGUAUAGACCCGAAACCCGGUGAUCUAGCCAUGGGCAGGUUGAAGGUUGGGUAACACUAACUGGAGGACCGAACCGACUAAUGUUGAAAAAUUAGCGGAUGACCUGUGGCUGGGGGUGAAAGGCCAAUCAAACCGGGAGAUAGCUGGUUCUCCCCGAAAGCUAUUUAGGUAGCGCCUCGUGAAUUCAUCUCCGGGGGUAGAGCACUGUUUCGGCUAGGGGGCCAUCCCGGCUUACCAACCCGAUGCAAACUGCGAAUACCGGAGAAUGUUAUCACGGGAGACACACGGCGGGUGCUAACGUCCGUCGUGAAGAGGGAAACAACCCAGACCGCCAGCUAAGGUCCCAAAGUCAUGGUUAAGUGGGAAACGAUGUGGGAAGGCCCAGACAGCCAGGAUGUUGGCUUAGAAGCAGCCAUCAUUUAAAGAAAGCGUAAUAGCUCACUGGUCGAGUCGGCCUGCGCGGAAGAUGUAACGGGGCUAAACCAUGCACCGAAGCUGCGGCAGCGACACUGUGUGUUGUUGGGUAGGGGAGCGUUCUGUAAGCCUGUGAAGGUGUGUCGUGAGGC
RNAcentral lists this ribosomal RNA (618 nucleotides) under Salmonella enterica subsp. enterica serovar Stanley. Its description in RNAcentral is "partial 23S ribosomal RNA". It matches the Rfam family "Bacterial large subunit ribosomal RNA", at positions 654 to 1269 of the family's 2925-position model. The record is from RNAcentral. Lineage: Bacteria; Pseudomonadati; Pseudomonadota; Gammaproteobacteria; Enterobacterales; Enterobacteriaceae.